RNAcentral lists this ribosomal RNA (794 nucleotides) under uncultured bacterium. Its description in RNAcentral is "bacterial SSU rRNA". It matches the Rfam family "Bacterial small subunit ribosomal RNA", at positions 8 to 829 of the family's 1533-position model. The record is from RNAcentral.
AGAGUUUGAUCAUGGCUCAGGAUGAACGCUGGCGGCGCUGCCUAACACAUGCAAGUCGAGCGAUUCUCUUCGGAGAAGAGCGGCGGACGGGUGAGUAACGCGUGGGUAACCUGCCCUGUACACACGGAUAACAUACCGAAAGGUAUGCUAAUACGGGAUAAUGUACUUUUGUCGCAUGGCAGAAGUAUCAAAGCUCCGGCGGUACAGGAUGGAUCCGCGUCUGAUUAGCUAGUUGGAGAGGUAAUGGCUCACCAAGGCAACGAUCAGUAGCCGACCUGAGAGGGUGAUCGGCCACAUUGGAACUGAGACACGGUCCAAACUCCUACGGGAGGCAGCAGUGGGGAAUAUUGCACAAUGGGCGAAAGCCUGAUGCAGCAACGCCGCGUGAGCGAUGAAGGCCUUCGGGUCGUAAAGCUCUGUCCUCAAGGAAGAUAAUGACGGUACUUGAGGAGGAAGCCCCGGCUAACUACGUGCCAGCAGCCGCGGUAAUACGUAGGGGGCUAGCGUUAUCCGGAAUUACUGGGCGUAAAGGGUGCGUAGGUGGUUUCUUAAGUCAGAGGUGAAAGGCUACGGCUCAACCGUAGUAAGCCUUUGAAACUGAGAAACUUGAGUGCAGGAGAGGAGAGUAGAAUUCCUAGUGUAGCGGUGAAAUGCGUAGAUAUUAGGAGGAAUACCAGUUGCGAAGGCGGCUCUCUGGACUGUAACUGACACUGAGGCACGAAAGCGUGGGGAGCAAACAGGAUUAGAUACCCUGGUAGUCCACGCCGUAAACGAUGAGUACUAGGUGUCGGGGG